UUUACUACGUAGAAGCAGAUGAAAACAGCAGGUGAUCCACAGAAGAGAGAGGAACAACACUGAGGCUGGCAUUUGACGCUGAAAUGCAUUAAAAAGAAAACAAGACCAUUCACAGUUGCUGCAAUCCUGUAUUUACAAAGCACAUAUGGAGCUCUAUGCUUGCAGAGUGUCGCAUCUUCUUUUUGAGAUAGCAGAUUUACCCUACAAAGUGUGGUCUCCCAGUUAAGUGUGGUCCAAUGGCAGAGAAGCUGCAUUAUUCACCAGCCCUAUAAUAAAGUUUUCCAGAGGCCUGA
Hemicordylus capensis (graceful crag lizard) is the source of this 293-nucleotide long non-coding RNA. RefSeq lists it as uncharacterized. NCBI's taxonomy places the organism in Eukaryota, Metazoa, Chordata, Lepidosauria, Squamata, Cordylidae. The transcript is spliced from 3 exons. The record is from RefSeq and is a predicted model, not a curated record.